Long non-coding RNA from Lepisosteus oculatus (spotted gar), 390 nucleotides. RefSeq lists it as uncharacterized. NCBI's taxonomy places the organism in Eukaryota, Metazoa, Chordata, Actinopteri, Semionotiformes, Lepisosteidae. The record is from RefSeq and is a predicted model, not a curated record.
CGGCGAUGGAAGGGUCGGAUUAAAUGGCCGGCGUAACCGCAGCUCGAAAUCCUUCAGCACGGCUCGCUGUCUUCAAGAACAAAUUAAACCGUGUUGUUGGCACAUCCAGUCCAGCGCAUCCCCAGAGGAGGAGAAGGCAGCACUCCAUGGGAAAUCCCAACUGACCGCAGGAGCCAGAGGGGGCAGGGACUGGGAACAGAUUCUCCAUCCGGUUCGUGCAGGAUGAGGUUUACCCGCGGCAUCCCAUGGAGACGAGAGCAUUUCUACAUGGAUUCUACUCGGCCACAAACCACGUGAGAGCACAUGCAAAAAGUGGUUCAUCACCCGCACCGCAGCCUGCAGCCAUUGGGUUCUCAAAGAGCUUCUCGCACCCCUGACCCCGAAUUGCUG